RNAcentral lists this transfer RNA (65 nucleotides) under Candidatus Portiera aleyrodidarum MED (Bemisia tabaci). RNAcentral describes it as "tRNA-Pro (TGG) (tRNA-Pro-TGG-1-1)". It matches the Rfam family "tRNA". Rfam says of the family: Transfer RNA (tRNA) molecules are approximately 80 nucleotides in length. Their secondary structure includes four short double-helical elements and three loops (D, anti-codon, and T loops). Further hydrogen bonds mediate the characteristic L-shaped molecular structure. tRNAs have two regions of fundamental functional importance: the anti-codon, which is responsible for specific mRNA codon recognition, and the 3' end, to which the tRNAs corresponding amino acid is attached (by aminoacyl-tRNA synthetases). tRNAs cope with the degeneracy of the genetic code in two manners: having more than one tRNA (with a specific anti-codon) for a particular amino acid; and 'wobble' base-pairing, i.e. permitting non-standard base-pairing at the 3rd anti-codon position. Lineage: Bacteria; Pseudomonadati; Pseudomonadota; Gammaproteobacteria; Johnevansiales (SeqCode); Johnevansiaceae (SeqCode). The record is from RNAcentral.
CGGAGUAUAGCGCGCGCCCCUGCUUUGGGAGCAGGCUGUCGUGGGUUCAAAUCCCUCUACUCCGA